This 171-nucleotide ribosomal RNA is filed under the name Taiwanofungus camphoratus. RNAcentral describes it as "partial large subunit ribosomal RNA". It matches the Rfam family "Eukaryotic large subunit ribosomal RNA", at positions 99 to 261 of the family's 3401-position model. Lineage: Eukaryota; Fungi; Basidiomycota; Agaricomycetes; Polyporales; Taiwanofungaceae. The record is from RNAcentral.
CGGGAUAAGCUCAAAUUUAAAAUCUGGUGGGUGUUUGGCCUGCCCGAGUUGUAGUCUGGAGAAGUGCUUUCUGUGCUGAACCGUGUACAAGUCUCUUGGAACAGAGCGUCAUAGAGGGUGAGAAUCCCGUCUUUGACACGGACUAUCAGUGCUUUGUGAUGCGCUCUCAAU